RNAcentral lists this ribosomal RNA (420 nucleotides) under uncultured bacterium. Its description in RNAcentral is "bacterial SSU rRNA". It matches the Rfam family "Bacterial small subunit ribosomal RNA", at positions 355 to 787 of the family's 1533-position model. The record is from RNAcentral.
UGGGGAAUAUUGCGCAAUGGGGGCAACCCUGACGCAGCAACGCCGCGUGCAGGAAGACGGUCUUCGGAUUGUAAACUGUUGUCGCAAGGGAAGAAGACAGUGACGGUACCUUGUGAGAAAGUCACGGCUAACUACGUGCCAGCAGCCGCGGUAAUACGUAGGUGACAAGCGUUGUCCGGAUUUACUGGGUGUAAAGGGCGCGUAGGCGGAUUUGCAAGUCAGUCGUGAAAAUACCGGGGCUCAACCCCGGGGCUGCGAUUGAAACUGCAGACCUUGAGUAUCGGAGAGGAAAGCGGAAUUCCUAGUGUAGCGGUGAAAUGCGUAGAUAUUAGGAGGAACACCAGUGGCGAAGGCGGCUUUCUGGACGACAACUGACGCUGAGGCGCGAAAGUGUGGGGAGCAAAACAGGAUUAGAUACCC